AGCAAUAGCUUUAAUAAUAGAAGAGCUGUCUCUCAGUUGUCCAGUUCUUCUCUGCUUACUGAAGUAAUAUGGUGACUACAGACACCCAUGAGCCUUACAGAUUUUAAAACAAGUUGACUGAAGAUGUGAUAUACGCCAACUUUGACAAAGAAGGGAAACUAUCGCCACAUGCCUGCAUUCUUGUUGACCGAAGCUUUUUACUUCUCACUUGAAUCUCAUUUUUAAUCCUCAGAAAUAUACUUUCCUCCUCAAUCAUAGUGAUUCAUAACCUUCUAAAACCUUACGAUUCUGAAAACCUACACAAACACUUUGGGACCUGUCCCAGCCCUUGACUCGCUGUCGGUAUUCUUAAGAUGACCACAGUGAGUAGCAUUGAAGAGCCAACGUUCAAAUGAGUAGCAUUGAAGAGCCAAGAGCCAACAUUCAAAUGCUUCUCCCACAAGAGAUUCAGCAUUCUGCAGAGCUGGAUGAUUCUCAGAUCACCACUUAGCUUCCUGAAGCCAGCAGCCUAUGUCAAAGAAGUUCCAACAAAUGCAAACCUAAAUAUGAUAAAUGGAAGGAGGAGAAUGUGUGGGCUCAAAGAACUCAGGCAGUAAUGAAAAACCGGGAGGAAGUGAAAUGAGGUAAUUUGAUGCCAGCAUGGAAUAUUGGACUAAAAUAUUUGAAAAAGAAGC
Molecule: long non-coding RNA, 674 nt
Filed under: Cercocebus atys (sooty mangabey)
Lineage: Eukaryota; Metazoa; Chordata; Mammalia; Primates; Cercopithecidae
Description: lncRNA (ENSCATG00000045389.1)
Source: RNAcentral